UACGGAGGAUGCGAGCGUUAUCCGGAUUUAUUGGGUUUAAAGGGUGCGUAGGCGGACUGUCAAGUCAGCGGUAAAAUUGAGAGGCUCAACCUCUUCCCGCCGUUGAAACUGGUGGUCUUGAGUGGAUGAGAAGUACGCGGAAUGCGUGGUGUAGCGGUGAAAUGCAUGGAUAUCACGCAGAACUCCGAUUGCGAAGGCAGCAUACCGGCGCCCGACUGACGCUGAGGCACGAAAGCGUGGGGAUCGAACAGG
Molecule: ribosomal RNA, 252 nt
Filed under: uncultured bacterium
Lineage: Bacteria
Description: partial 16S ribosomal RNA
Rfam family: Bacterial small subunit ribosomal RNA
Source: RNAcentral